CCCAGUGUUUUUCUUGCAGUCACUCCCCUUCCUGAUUUUCUGGUAGGCCUCUUAGAUGAAUUUUUUACCUCCUGUCCCUGUCUGAUUGUUCCUCCAACUUCAUAGCAAAAUCUUCUGUCAUUUGUAAGAGCUGGAUCUCAGACUGGUUAGUUAGAGCAAGAUUGUGUGCAUCAUUUUAUGUUUUAGAAAUAUCAGGCACAUAUCAAAUUUCUGCACAAGUGAAGUUGGGGCUGCUCUCCAGUCCAAGGCCAGUGCCUACCUUAUUUUAUUAAUGUAAUCAUCUGACUCUCUGGCCUCUUCCAUUACAGCAGCUGCUUUCUUGCCUUUUGGGGCCUUCAUGAAGCCUCAUACAGAGCUCCCUCUAUUUCUUUCUGAAGCACUAAUCUUGCAGAUUUCCUUUUUGGUCCCCGUAUUUCUUGAAACAUCUCCAUGCUGAGGCUGUAUAAAACUUUUUGAUUAGAUGUCAGUAGGAUCCACUCUGAUUAGAAUUUGUUCCAGGGCGAUUGGAGAUACAGAAAUAUCCCUCUAUUUAGCUUUCCUGCUAGCCACCCCUCCCCCAGCUUUUUCUACAGAUGGAGGCUUCUCAUACAAUUUAGAUCCCUAUCUUCUCAGGUUCCAAACCAUGUAGGGAACCUGUACAAUUGCAACAGGUUCCAUCAUCUUUAUCAAGGGUGGGAAACUGGACUGAGCAGGUGGGCUAGCUCUAAAACUUUGCCACCCCCUGUGGGCCAUUUUAACAGGUGGACUGUGCAACAACAUUAUAUGGCAUCAAACAAUUUAGCCUGUGAAGAAUUGGGAGCAAGUUCCUAUUUUCUUCCACUCUUUCCUUGCAGGUGUGGCCUGCUUCAAUUCAAGUUGCAUUGAACAAGCUUCCUUUGUAGGCUUAGCUCAGGUUCAUUUCUGCAUUUCUGAUUGUUCUUGUUCAGUUUGGCCCCUUAUUGUAUUGCCUUUUAGCUUUCUCCUGUCCAGUUUCCUUUUACUCCUGGGGUGGAGCAAUAGCUCAGUUGUAGAGCAUCUGUUUUGUGCACAGAAGGUUUCAGGUUAAAUUUCCUAUCUCCAUAUUGGGCUGGGAAAAGCUCCCAUCUAGACCAAGGUUCUGACUUCGUAUAAGGCAACCUCCUGUUUCUAUGUUCAUCCUCCACUGGAUCAUCAAUGCAAAUGGGCUGUGCAAGCAAAGAGGACAGAUCUGAGCACCAACGAGCUCACAUUUCACCACUAUGAAUCUCUACCACUGAAGUUGUCUCACCUCGAGUAGCAGCAACUUUCCAUUUGCUUCAGUGAAUCAUGUGCUACCUCAUAAUGUGGAAAGCAGCAAACAUCAACAAGACACAUGACAAGCUUGGUGAGUCAACCAAAGUGAGCGCAUCUGUCAACAAGGGGCAGGUGGCCAGCUCUUUUCCUCAAGGGAAAGAUGGCUGAAUAAAUAACACAGCAAAGGUAAAGCAGAUCCCAUCAAGCUCCCUUGCCAAAUUCAAUCAGGUCAGGUGAGCUCUGAACACACAGAUCCAAAAAUUAAAAGUUUACUGUGCCAAACAUGCUGCUUGAAUACAAAAUUCCCCCUUGUAAAGGGCAGGAGGGGAAGACAUUAUAACUAAGUAUUUAUAAACUACUUGAAUAAAAGAACUGAGGGGAUGCUCAUCAAAUUUGCAGAUGGCACCAAACUGGAAAGGGUAGCUAAUGCCACAGAAGACAGAAUCAAAAUUCAAAAUAAUUGGAUAACUGGGCCCAAGCUAACAAAAUGAAUUUCAAUAGGGACAAAGGUCAAUUAUCUAAUUUCUGUGGUUAACAAAUAUAGUUCUUCAUGUCCAUUUAUUAUAUAACAGAUAUUUCUAAGAUGAGAUACACAAUGAUACCAUUUAAGCUGGGAUAUCCCUCUGUCAGUAGGGGUAAAUAAUACAAUAUCGUGUAGUUGUGAUCAAUUAUCUUGAUGAAUAAAUUAUAUAAUAAGCUUUUGUCACCUAAUAAUGGUCUAGUCUGGAUAGGAAUAGUUUGAAAAGAAGCAAAAUUUUCUGAAGUAACAUUUUAACUGUUGAAAUAUGACCCCAUCAAGUCAUAUAUAGGUUUUUCCAAAUUCUCAUGUUAGUUUUGAAGUCUGUGAUUAUUGGUUUAUAAUUUAUUCCAGCUUUGACAUUUGUGUGUGUAUGUAUACACACACACACACACACACACACACACACACUUAAAUAAUGAAUGUGCAUAUUACACAGUUUAAGAACUGAGAAUUUCUGAAGACCAUGUAUUAAUUCUGGAGGCGUUUGAAUGCAAAACUAUUCUGAUUUUCCAUAAUUCACUUUAAAUCCAGAUACCGAGUUAAAUUGGGAUUAUUCUUGCAUGAUGGCCAGAAUUAAAAUUUGAGGAUAUGGUGUUAUCAUUGUAUUGUCAUCUGCAAAGAAGUUCAAUAUACCGUAUUUUUCGUCCCAUAGGACGCUCCGUCCCAUAGGACACACCUAGUUUUUUGGGGGGGAAAUAAAGGAAAUUUCCCCCCCUUUAUUUCCCCCCCAAAACCAGGUCGGGGAAACCGAACCAGGUCAAGGAACAGCAGGAUGGCGGUGCUGCGCCUCCUUGCUGUCCCCCGAGCUUGUGGGGCUGGCAGAUGUCUGCCCGGCGUGAGGGGCGCUCUGCUUCAAGGCACCCCUCGCGCCGGGCGGCAGGUUGCUAUCCGCAGCGUAGGGAGCCCUGCGGGAACUCCCGCAGGGCUCCCCACGCUGAGGAUGUCUGCCCAGCGGGCGGGGCGCUCUGCUUCAGGGUGCCACUCGUACCGGGCGGCAGGCUGCUACCUGCAGCGUAGUGAGCCCUGCGGGAACUCCUGCGGGGCUGCCUAGGCUGCGGAUGUGUUCCCGAAGUGCCGGGCGCUCUGCUUUCAGCGCGCCCGGCGCUCUGGGAAGCAGGCUGCUAUCUGCAGCCUAGACAGCCCUGCGGGAACUCCCACAGGGCUACCUAGGCUGCAGAUGUGCUCCCGAAGCACCGGGCGCUCUGCUUCAGGGUGUCCUUCGCGCCGGGCGGCAGGCUGCUAUCCGCAGCGUAGGGAGCCCUGCGGGAACUCCCGCGGGGCUGCCUUGGCUGCGGAUGUGUUCCCGAAGCGCCGGGCGCUCUGCUUUCAGCGCGCCCAGCGCUCUGGGAAGCAGGCUGCUGUCCGCAGGGCUGCCUAGGCUGCAGGUGUGCUCCCGAAGCGCCGGGUGCUCUGCUUUCAGCGCGCCCAGCGCUCUGGGAAGCAGGCUGCUGUCCGCAGGGCUGCCUAGGCUGCAGGUGUGCUCCCGAAGCGCCGGGUGCUCUGCUUUCAGCGCGCCCAGCGCUCUGGGAAGCAGGCUGCUAUCCGCAGGGCUGCCUAGGCUGCAGAUGUGCUCCCGAAGCGCCAGGUGCUCUGCUUUCAGCGCACCCGACGCUCCAGGAAGCAGGCUGCUAUCCCACAGGAACUCCUGCAGGGCUGCCUAGGCUGCGGAUGUGUUCCUGAAGCCUGGAGAGCGAGAGGGGUCGGUGCGCACUGACCCCUUUCGCUCUCCAAGCUUCAGCGAAAGCCUGCAUUUGCCCCAUAGGACGCACCCAGAUUUCCCCUUCAUUUUUGGAGGGGAAAAAUUGCGUCCUAUAGGGCGAAAAAUACGGUAUAUCGUUCACCACGAACUGUUAUUUCCAAAAUGGAUGGAUUCUGUUGGAGUGCUAGGGCCAUUGAUUCCAUGACUACAACAAAAAGCAGAAGGGAUGGAGGGUAAUCUUGCUUUGUGCCCUGGCAGAUGAGGAAAACCCCCAAAGUAUCUUCAAUUUACCUGUAUGUUUGCAUGGGUAGAAUCAUGCAGUCUUUUUAUCAAAUUGACAAAGGGGGAAUCAUAUCCUGAAUCUGGUCAAUGCAGCAAACAAAAAAGGCUGGUUAAAUCAAUCAAAAGCUUUAGUGAUGUCUACUUUGAAUAUUUCAGUAGAAUUUGGUUGGGCAUAGGCCAUGAAUAAUAUUUAGUAUGUGCCUGAUGGGAAUAAUGAUAUACAUAUCUAUGGUGAAUAUAUAAUAUAUGGUCUUUAUUAAUGUAAUUUGGUUCAAUUCAUGUUUUAUCAGGAUUUUUUGCAUCCACAUUUAUCAAUAAAAUGGGUCAGUAAGAGUUGGUUAGUGUGAUGGGAUGAUGAGCUGCUUGUGCGUAAAAUAGUAUCCCCUCAGAGUUUGUUCAAGUCCACAAACCUCUGUCUGUGACGGAGCCCCUCAGACAUGGCUCCUCUAGUCACUAGCAGAUUCCGACAGUGGUUGCUUCGGAAUCGCUUCCAACAUAAAAGCUCCUUAACGGAAACACGUCUUCUGGACUCUCUGCGUGACAGUUUCCGGCGAGGAGUGGGUGUUCCUACAGGAGGUCCUGAAACCUCCCCACUGUUUUCGCUGGAAGUGUCUCUGAGCCAUCCCUCCAGCUCACUUUCCCUCAACUCAGCUCCUCUCCCCCUACUGGUUCCCUCUUCAGCUGCUGAGUCUCUCCCAACCUGUGUGAGCCCUUUCACCUCCCUUCCUUCCGAUGGCAGUUCCCUGACAUCCACCUCCCCUCCAGGGCCCCUUUCACCCCCUCUCGCCCCUUCCUCUACGGGCGGUGAGGAGGCAAAACCCCGGACUGAACAUACUUCCUCUUCCGAUGUCUAUAACACUUAUCUACACCAGAUGAGGUUCCUGGUCUCGAAGAACUACACCUCCACCGAGUCCAACUCCCCUUCCCCUUCUGAGUCCGGGAAUCCUUCCAACUCCUCCUCCUCAUCAGUGGUCCCAAAGUAUUCCCUCCGGAACCUCUCCACAGGCUGAGGUUUCCUUGGGAACCUUUGAUGGAACGUUUCUAUCAAUACCUCGUCAUUGAUAUCUUCGGCCAUUACCCAAGUGUUUUCUGACCCGGUUCUCCUUCCCACGCUACCAAAUACUCCACCUGAUCCCCCUUCCACCUGGCGUCGAGGAUUUCUGCCACAUGGCUGCUGCAUUCUCUUUCUUCUAUGACCGGUCCCCGAGUGGCCAUCCCUUCUCGUCCCCCUUCGUACGGUGACAGUAACGACCUGUGAAAUACUGGGUGCAGUUUCAUGUGGUUGGGUAACCGGAGCCUGAAAGCCACUGGGUUGACCUGUUGAAUGACCUCAAAGGGACCCAACCUCCUGGGUCUUAAUUUCUUACAACCUCCUUUGAACGGCAACCCUUGGGUUGACAGCCACACCCUAUCUCCCACCCUUAUGGUUUCACCUUCCCUUCGGUUCUUGUCUGCCUGCCUCUUGUAUUCUUCCUUCGCCCUUUCUAAGUUGAGUUGGAGCUGACGAUGGAUUGCUUCCAUUUCUUCCGCAAAAUGCUCGGCUGCCGGGACGCUCCAUCUCUCCCCAUCUCCCCUGGGAAAGCCCUGGGAUGACACCCAUAAUUAGCCAAGAAGGGGCUCAUCCCUGUGGACACAUUCUCGGCAUUGUUGUAGGCAAAUUCCGCCAGCGCCAACUUUUCUACCCAGUCAUUCUCUCUGUCAUUGACAUAACACCUCAGGUAUUGCUGGAGGACACCGUUUGCUCUUUCCGCCUGCCCGUUGGUUUCAGGGUGCCGGGCAGUCGAAAAAUUGACCUCCACCUGCAGUAAGCUCAUGAGCUUCCUCCAGAACCUGGAAGUAAAUUGUUUUCCUCGGUCUGAGACCACCCUCAAUGGCACCCCGUGCAACCUAAAAAUGUGUUCUACAAAUAACUUCGCUGUCUCUUCCGCCGUGACUGCAUGCGAGCAAGCUACAAAGUGGCACAUCUUUGUUAGUAGGUCUACCACCACCAUGAUGGCUGUUUUCCCUUUGGACUUCGGCAGAUCAGUCAUAAAAUCUAUCGACACUGCCUCCCAAGGUCGUUCUGGGGUUGGUAAGGGUUCUAACAGCCCCGCCGGCGCCCGCCUUUCCCCUUUGGCUCGCUGGCAUUGCUCGCACCCUCUUACAUACUCACGUACAUCUUCCCUCACCUUAGGCCACCAAAAUUCCCUGGUGACCAACCACAUGGUUUUGUGUUGUCCAAAAUGCCCCGCCGUAGGGCUGUCGUGCAACUGCUUGAGUACCCUCCCCUUAAGUCUCCUUCAGGGAUAUACAGUGCCCCUUUGUAAUACAAAGCUCCAUUUCUUUCCUCGAAACCCCUGGUUCCUCUCCCUCACCCCUAAGACCUCUGAGCUUAUUCUGGGCGUAUUCAUCAUUCUCUGUUUCCUCUACCAGUUCUCUUUGUCCCACCAAUGCCGCCCCACACACCCAGCGGUCCUCUGGAAUGACAUGUCUCUCUUCGGGUGCUCCCUCCCUCCAAAUAGUCAGGUUUGCGUGAGAGAGCGUCCGCCCUAAUGUUCUCUGGGCCUGGCACGUAACCAAUCUCAAAGUUAAAUUUGGAGAACUCCUGGGCCCAUCUCACUUGCCGUUGGUUGAGCACUCGUGCCGUCCUCCAAUACUCUAGGUUCUUGUGGUCAGUGCACACUUGCACCUUAUGUUGUGCGCCAAUUAGCAGGUGCCUCCAUCUCCGGAACGCCUCAUGAAUGGCUAGUAGUUCUCGGUCAUACACCGUGUAGUUCCUCUCGGAUUUGUUCAGCUUUCGAGAAAAAAAAGCACACGGUCUCCACUCUGACUCCUCCUUCCCUGGCUGCCGAAGCACCGCCCCCAGCGCUCUGUCUGAUGCGUCAGUGUCCCCUCUCACCGGUUGUUGUAAAUCCACAGGCCGGAGUUGUUGUUCCGAGGCGAAGGCCCUUUUAGUUCCUCAAAUGCUCGCUCCGCCUCCUCAGUCCAAACGAACUUCUUCUUACUGCUGAGACAGUCCGUAAUGGGCGCCGUCAGGUGGGCAAAGUUUCGGAUGAACUUACGAUAGAAGUUCCCAAAUCCUAGGAACCUCUGCACAUCCUUCCUUGUUUUGGGUGUUUUCCAUUCCAGCACCGCCUGGACCUUGCCGGGAUCCAUGGCCAAUCCCUUGUCUGACAGGCGAUACCCCAGGAAUUCCACCUCCUUGGUAUGAAACUGACACUUCUCCAGUUUCACCCACAGCUGGUUGGCUUGCAGCCUGCUCAACACUUCUCUGACGUCUCUCACAUGCUGCUCCUCAUUCUCAGAAUACACCAACACGUCGUCUAAGAAGGCCACACAAUUCUUGUAAAGCAAAGGCCCCAGGACGUGGUUCAUAAACGAUUGAAAGCAUGCGGAGCCUGCUUGUAGGCCGAAGGGCAUAACCAAAUAUUCAAAUGCCCCUAAAGGGGUGAACAUGGUGGUUUUCCAUUCAUCCCCCUUCCUUAUUCGUAUCAGGUUGUACGCCCCCCUUAGGUCCAGCUUUGUGAAAAUCUUCCCUUCCGCACCCUUGUCAAAAUGUCGUCAAUCCUGGGCAUAGGGAAGGCCACUGGUUCUGACACUGCAUUUAAGGCCCUGAAGUCACACACCAGCCUCGGCUUGUUCGUGUUUUUUUAUCCACAAAAACACUGGGCUGCCCCCACCGCCCUGGACUCUCUGAUGAACCCUCUCUUCAGGUUCUUGUCAAUGAACUCUCUUAGCUCCUGCAUCUCUCUGUCUGACAUGGCGUACAGCUUGCCUACAGGGAGCUGUGCCCCAGGGAGUAAAUUGAUUUGACAGUCAAAGGGUCUAUGCGGGGUAGUUGGUCAGCUUCCCUUUCGCUGAAGACGUCGCGGAGAUCUGCGUAUUGUCGUGGUACCUUCACGUUCUCCGUUACUUCAGUCCCUGCUAGGGUGGCUUGGGCCCCUGCCAAACCCUUUCCCUCUUUGCAGUGUUCUAAGCAAUGUGCUGAACCAAAAGAAACCACUCUCUGAUGCCAGCCCACCAGCGGAUCAUGUAACGCUAGCCAGCUCAUCCCCAAUAUAAUGGGAGCUCCUCCCAAGGUGGCCACAUUAAACGCUAUCAGUUCGGUGUGCCUUGCCACCUUCAUUAUCAUUGGGACGGUCUGCAAGCUGACUUCUCCUCCCAACAGCUCCCUGCCAUCGAUCGUGGUCACCUGCAGGGGUUGCUUAAAGGAUCGUCUGUAUCUGGUGUUCAGCUGCAAACUCUUUGCUCAUGAAAUUGCAGGAGCUGCCUGAGUCCAACAGCGCCUUUAUCUUUAGAGGGUGUCCGUUUGGCAGCUCUAGCGCCACUUCUAUCACUAGGGCGGGUUUAGGAGGUUCUGGCAUGGGCACUCUCACUGCUCUUUGGCCUGGCUGCUGUGCCCGACGGUGGCAGCCAGGCGUUGGCUUUACUUGCUCCGGUAUUUCUUCCUCUCUUCCCUCCACAGCUCCUACCAUCCCUUGCCAUUCCUUCCUCUGGGGGCAGACUCUGGCAAAGUGACCUGGCUGUUGGCAGAGAUAGCAUUUCCGGGCGCGUUUCCCUCCUUCUUUCCCCCUCACUGGGCUUUGAAACUGCGCGGCGCGCGCUGUUCCGAUUUCCAUCGGCUCUGCCGGCGGGAAAGUUGGCUCUGGAAUGUCUGGAAUGCGGAACUCCUUCCAACGUUCCCCUUCCCUUCCCGCCUCUCCAAUGCUCUCGCCUCCUGGCGCGCUCCUAUGGUCAGCGCUGAUUUGGUCAGCUGGUCCAUAGACUCCGCCCUGGGCGCCCGGGAAAGUUCGUCUUUCACAGCCGAAGAAAGCCCUUCUUCAAAGAGCAUUUGAAUGGGUUCCGCCGAUAAGUCCCACCCCAAUCUGUGAACCAGCAUGGUGAACUCAGUCCAGUACUCACGGACAGAUCGGCUCCCCUGUUUGCAAGCCAUUAACUGUCUGCGCACCACUCCUGUUCAAUAUCGCUCGAAAACAUCAGAUCCAUGGCGCGAAAGAACUUCAUCGUGUCCUUUAGGACGUCACUAUUCGCUGCCAUCAGGGGUCUAACCCAGUCUCUCGCCCCUUUUCAAGAUGCCCAAUCACGAAAGCCACUCGUGAUUCCUCGUCAGGGAAUUCAUCAAACUGCAGAUUGAGGGCAUAUUGCAUCUCUGUCCGAAAGCCAUGAUAGUCUUUGGGCUCCCCCCCAAACUUCUGCACCAAUCCUGGUACCUUUCUGGCGAGCUGGGUGGCUUUCCCUUUUGUCUGCAUCCUGAGCCCUCCUCUCCUCAAGCCUCGCCGUCUGCAGCGCUAGCUGGACCUCCAACACCCGGUACCUUUCUUCCAGGCUUGGACCCGCUCCAGCUCCUGCUUCUCCGGUUCCGGCUGGGUUGCUCAUGAUGCCUUCUCCUGCACAAGCUGCUUUCAAAGACUGUCGGAAUGCUGUGAUGGGAUGAUGAGCUGCUUGUGCGUAAAAUAGUAUCCCCUCAGAGUUUGUUCAAGUCCACAAACCUCUGUCUGUGACGGAGCCCCUCAGACAUGGCUCCUCUAGUCACUAGCAGAUUCCGACAGUGGUUGCUUUCGGAAUCGCUUCCAACAUAAAAGCUCCUUAACGGAAACACGUCUUCUGGACUCUCUGCGUGACAGUUUCCGGCGAGGAGUGGGUGUUCCUACAGGAGGUCCUGAAACCUCCCCACUGUUUUCGCUGGAAGUGUCUCUGAGCCAUCCCUCCAGCUCACUUUCCCUCAACUCAGCUCCUCUCCCCCUACUGGUUCCCUCUUCAGCUGCUGAGUCUCUCCCAACCUGUGUGAGCCCUUUCACCUCCCUUCCUUCCGAUGGCAGUUCCCUGACAGUUAGUUACAGGUUUUUUAAUGGCUUGUUGUUGUUGUUAAUUGUUUAGUCGUGUCCGACUCUUCGUGACCCCAUGGACCAGAGCACGCCAGGCACUCCUGUCUUCCACUGCCUCCCGCAGUUUGGUUAAACUCAUGCUGGCUUUUUUAAUGGCUUAGGAAGUACUAUAAUAUUUGUUGGUUUCCAUGUGCUAGGGACUUCCCCUCUAGAAAAAGAUACUUGUGAACAACUUAGAAAGAAGAGGUACAAAUUGGAGUUUGGAAUGCUUUAUAGAAAGCUCCCAUAAUUCUGUUCAAGCUGGGAGACUUGGAUAGUUUCAGGUUUUUAAUAGUUGUUUUAUUGUUGUUGUUUUCGUUGUUACUAUUUCUUCUAGCUUAGAUGGUGGAGGAUGCUUUGUGUGAAUGGCAGCAGUAUGAAUUGUUAUCUAAGGAAGUGAUUAAGUGAUAUACUUAAAUCCGUUCAGUGAACAGUGUUUCCAAAUUCACUUUACUUGAGUCUGUAUGCCCCAAUAACAUCAGGGUGAAUUGCCUGUGCCCACAGCUGAUGUGCUGCCUGGACCGGCUCUUCAGGCUCAUAGAGUUCAACAGCAGCAUUUAACUGGACUGCCUCUAGAUUGCCCAGUGACUUGAGGGGAUGCACCAGUGAUGCUGCUGGCUAGACCAUGACAUGCAGGGAACAAGGGAGAAGCUGCGCCAGUCAGUGUCUGAGCAUUCAGUCCUGGAAGUGAAGUUGAAACAUGCCCGCAACCAAGUGGAGGUAGAGAUGAAGAAAAGGCAUCAGGUGGACAAGUAGGAGUACAAGCUGCAGUUUCUAUAUGACUAUCUGGUCACUGAUCUGCAUAUCAGUCUUUUCAAUGAGAACCGGCACUCAGUCCUGGCAGCUUCAACCACAGCACCCUGCUGCCUGGCAAGUGGCUAUCUGCAGUGGAAGAAUAUAGCACCUGAAAUAUUCU
Molecule: non-coding RNA, 10511 nt
Organism: Podarcis lilfordi (Lilford's wall lizard)
Lineage: Eukaryota; Metazoa; Chordata; Lepidosauria; Squamata; Lacertidae
Source: the annotation of a GenBank genome assembly